GUCCCGAGCCGCGCACUUCUGGGACCGUCGGGCGCGAACCGAGGGCAGGAAAUUGGACUCACUGGAACCAGUGGCCAUGCCCGAGCAUCCGUGGUGGAGCUUGCUCAGUCCCCAAAAUCUCAUGUGGACAGAAACAUGGCUGAAGAGUUACAUUGCCAGCAAGUCCAGGACAUCAGAACCUCCCUGUUCCCUGGUGUGACACACUCCCUGCCGCGUGGUGGCAGGGACUGCCGUGGGGUGGGCUCCGCAGACGCAGUGUGAUAGGACCGGUGUUCCUUAUAAGAAGAGGAAGAGCGACCAAAUCUGUCCGCCCUGCAACCCUGUGCACAGAGGAAAGGCCACGUGAGGCCACAAGCCAAGAAGAGGCCUCGCCGGACACCACCCCUGGAAACUCCUGGAAAUGGGACUUCCAGCCUCCAAGGAUGGUGAGAAACACAUUCCUGUCACUUAAGCCCCAGUCUGCGGCACUUUGCUGGGGAAGCCCAAGAACACUCACACGCCCCGGCUGGCUUUGCUUUAUUAUUUCACUGCCUAAUACGAAUGCCUAAAUAAUAGACUUC
Long non-coding RNA from Lemur catta (Ring-tailed lemur), 560 nucleotides. RefSeq lists it as uncharacterized. The transcript has 4 exons. The record is from RefSeq and is a predicted model, not a curated record. Lineage: Eukaryota; Metazoa; Chordata; Mammalia; Primates; Lemuridae.